Molecule: long non-coding RNA, 705 nt
Filed under: Olea europaea subsp. europaea
Lineage: Eukaryota; Viridiplantae; Streptophyta; Magnoliopsida; Lamiales; Oleaceae
Source: RNAcentral
AUUCAGACUUCAAAAGCAUGUGCCCUAAUUUUUUUUUCUCUCUCUCUCGCUCUCCUUCAAGACGCUCAACCCUCCACCGCCAUUGAAUCGAUCUUCAAUAAUCCAUUUUUCCUUUUAACUUGCCAACUUCAAGUCUCCAAUUAUCCAUUAAUUUUGUGGUUCUGCAAUUUAAGCUUUGCAAAGUUCGAUGUCUAGUUUGGGAAGAAAGGCAUUCCGUAUCUCAACACCUAUGAUGGAAAGACAAUUCGCUAUCCAGACCCAUUCAUCAAGGGAAAUGACAUGAUCAAACUCAACCUCGAGUCGAACAAAAUUGUUGACUUCAUCAAGUUUGAUGUUGGCAAUGUUGUGAUGGUGACCGAUGGAAGGAACAGGGGACGUGUUGGAGUGAUCAAGAACCGUGAGAAGCACAAGGGAAGCUUUGAAACUAUCCACAUCUAGGAUGCUCUUGGGCGCAAGUUUGCUACCCGUGUGGACAAUGUGUUCGCUAUUGAAAAAGGUACAAAGCAAUAUGUUCGCUAUUUUUUUAUAGUUUUGACUUAUUUAUUAUGUUCUCCAAUUUUGUUUAAUUGAUUUGGAUAUCUGUGUGACCAUUUUUAUUGAUUUUAGGUUUUGGUUCUAUGCAGUUUUAGUUUGUUUAAUGUAAAUUUUUUUCAUCCAAUUUGUCACAACUUUCCCUACAUGGAAAUUAUCCAAAAAUCCUCCUUA